GAUAAACGCUGGCGGCGUGCCUAAUACAUGCAAGUCGAGCGAACGGACGAGAAGCUUGCUUCUCUGAUGUUAGCGGCGGACGGGUGAGUAACACGUGGAUAACCUACCUAUAAGACUGGGAUAACUUCGGGAAACCGGAGCUAAUACCGGAUAAUAUUUUGAACCGCAUGGUUCAAAAGUGAAAGACGGUCUUGCUGUCACUUAUAGAUGGAUCCGCGCUGCAUUAGCUAGUUGGUAAGGUAACGGCUUACCAAGGCAACGAUGCAUAGCCGACCUGAGAGGGUGAUCGGCCACACUGGAACUGAGACACGGUCCAGACUCCUACGGGAGGCAGCAGUAGGGAAUCUUCCGCAAUGGGCGAAAGCCUGACGGAGCAACGCCGCGUGAGUGAUGAAGGUCUUCGGAUCGUAAAACUCUGUUAUUAGGGAAGAACAUAUGUGUAAGUAACUGUGCACAUCUUGACGGUACCUAAUCAGAAAGCCACGGCUAACUACGUGCCAGCAGCCGCGGUAAUACGUAGGUGGCAAGCGUUAUCCGGAAUUAUUGGGCGUAAAGCGCGCGUAGGCGGUUUUUUAAGUCUGAUGUGAAAGCCCACGGCUCGACCGUGGAGGGUCAUUGGAAACUGGAAAACUUGAGUGCAGAAGAGGAAAGUGGAAUUCCAUGUGUAGCGGUGAAAUGCGCAGAGAUAUGGAGGAACACCAGUGGCGAAGGCGACUUUCUGGUCUGUAACUGACGCUGAUGUGCGAAAGCGUGGGGAUCAAACAGGAUUAGAUACCCUGGUAGUCCACGCCGUAAACGAUGAGUGCUAAGUGUUAGGGGGUUUCCGCCCCUUAGUGCUGCAGCUAACGCAUUAAGCACUCCGCCUGGGGAGUACGACCGCAAGGUUGAAACUCAAAGGAAUUGACGGGGACCCGCACAAGCGGUGGAGCAUGUGGUUUAAUUCGAAGCAACGCGAAGAACCUUACCAAAUCUUGACAUCCUUUGACAACUCUAGAGAUAGAGCCUUCCCCUUCGGGGGACAAAGUGACAGGUGGUGCAUGGUUGUCGUCAGCUCGUGUCGUGAGAUGUUGGGUUAAGUCCCGCAACGAGCGCAACCCUUAAGCUUAGUUGCCAUCAUUAAGUUGGGCACUCUAAGUUGACUGCCGGUGACAAACCGGAGGAAGGUGGGGAUGACGUCAAAUCAUCAUGCCCCUUAUGAUUUGGGCUACACACGUGCUACAAUGGACAAUACAAAGGGCAGCGAAACCGCGAGGUCAAGCAAAUCCCAUAAAGUUGUUCUCAGUUCGGAUUGUAGUCUGCAACUCGACUACAUGAAGCUGGAAUCGCUAGUAAUCGUAGAUCAGCAUGCUACGGUGAAUACGUUCCCGGGUCU
This 1372-nucleotide ribosomal RNA is filed under the name uncultured bacterium. RNAcentral describes it as "bacterial SSU rRNA". It matches the Rfam family "Bacterial small subunit ribosomal RNA", at positions 28 to 1381 of the family's 1533-position model. The record is from RNAcentral.